Podarcis lilfordi (Lilford's wall lizard) is the source of this 77-nucleotide non-coding RNA. The record is from the annotation of a GenBank genome assembly. NCBI's taxonomy places the organism in Eukaryota, Metazoa, Chordata, Lepidosauria, Squamata, Lacertidae.
GACUGAAGGGAUAGCCCAGUCAGUAGAGCAUGCGACUCUUAAUCUCAGGUUCGUGAGUUCGAGCCCCACUUUGGGCA